UAUCCUCGAAUCCUUCUAGAUCCAGCCUCUGCCUUUUUCCUUUCCGUGUGACAACACUCGGACGAAGACGACCUCACCUGAGUCACCUCGACUGCGGGACCUCGGCCCCGCGACCUCGACCCCACGACCGCGACUGUGACCCUCGAGCCCUAUCUCCGACCUCAGACAAAGACGACCUCACCUCGACCUUAGACGAAGAUGACCUCACCUCGACCGCGUGACCUCUCAUUAGCUUCAGUUCUUCAUCGACGUGGGUUUAUUUCUUAAUCGGGGCUUUCGAUGUUUGAAUUUGCAGCUGCUAUGAAGGAGACCGCCUGGGUCUGUUGCUGAAAAUCGAUUCAAGAGAAGAUCGAGGCAGCAAGAGCCUCAGAUGGGGAUGUUCUGCCCGAGAAGAUAUGGUUGAAAGUAGCUGUUAAACUUCUGCUUAAUGAUUUGUUUUACUGGCGAUGCUGUCGUUUGCAUGAUCUCUCUCCCAUUUAUGUAGCAACAAUUUGCAAUUGGGGUCAAAGAAGUCACGCGGUUGCUCGAAAGAAUGCCGCUAUCCAGUGAAAAAGGAAGUUCACCUUAGAAGCCCGAUGUAAUGUCUAGCAAUGAUAAAGCACCUCAGCUUCAGGUCCAUUGUCUUAUAUGAAUCUUCGGUUACAAUUGCCGACUGUUUAUUAGCUCUGUGGUCGAAUUUGAGGAUAAGUGAUUCGCGCUUGUAGUGAAUGGAGUUGCCCUGUUUUUCUUCCUAGUUAUUGGAAGAGGUGGGAUUGAGAAAAAGAUUAGCUUUUUCGCUCAUGUAUAAUUCUUUAUGUCGAGAAUUGCUUUGCUUCUGGAACGAUAUAAAACAACACUCUUGAAGGCUUUAUCUGCAA
Punica granatum (pomegranate) is the source of this 857-nucleotide non-coding RNA. The record is from RefSeq and is a predicted model, not a curated record. NCBI's taxonomy places the organism in Eukaryota, Viridiplantae, Streptophyta, Magnoliopsida, Myrtales, Lythraceae.